Molecule: long non-coding RNA, 213 nt
Filed under: Musa acuminata (dwarf banana)
Lineage: Eukaryota; Viridiplantae; Streptophyta; Magnoliopsida; Zingiberales; Musaceae
Description: long non-coding RNA (MACU_LNC009042)
Source: RNAcentral
GAUGAUCUCAUCAUCUAAUAAUAUCGAACAACCAUUAUUCUCAAAAACUAAUUUAUAUCCAUUGACUAUCAAACAAGAAAUGGAGAUAAUAUUUUUGAUAAUAGAAGGAACAAAAUAACAUGCAUCUAAUGUAAUAAAAGCUCUACCAAGCAGAUGUAGGGCGACCUCACCAACAGCUACUACAAUAAUUUUUGCUCCAUUGCCCAUCUUUGG